ACAGAAGUGGUUGGGCGUCGUGAGGAACGCAUCGGCGGCAGAACACUCAAGCGGCUGGUUGUUGAGAGCACGCCAGCUGAAGAGCACCCCUGCACACUGGCAGGCCAUCCACAGGUGGGACGAGGCAGAAUUUACUGGGGCUAUUGGAGGAGAGCUGGGGCCAUCUAGCGGCCCAGCUUCUGGGGACAACCAUCUCCCUUCUGGCUCCCCCAUUAGCGGAGAGCCUUGCACUCAUUCUCCAAGCCCACAUGUGACCUGAUUCUUCAGGUACACUAAGGCAAGAAACCCCAGGAUACAGAAAUCCGUCUGUCCUUGUAAUAAGGAAGGGGGUUUAAUUGAGCUGGUUAAUACAGGCCGCCUAUAGAUGGCAAACUAAGAGAGCACCCUGUAACAUACACCCACUGGGGCUUCAGGAGCUGUAAACAUUCACCCCUAGACACUGCCGUGGGGUUGGAGCCCCACAGCCUGCCUGCCUGUAUGCUCCCCUAGAGGUUUGAGGAGCAGGGCACUGAAGGAGUGAGUCACACCUCCAUUGGACGUCCUGCUAGGGGGACAAGGAAACCUUUCUCAUUUCAGUAUGUUGUUUUAACAUCCCAUUUGUUUCAAAAAUGUCAUUGAAUUUUACAAAGUCUAUUGUAUCUACAAUGAAGAUUUUCCUAUACAUAUUAAUGAAGUAAUAUACAUUAUUUACUUUACAUAUUGUUAUUAAUAGAAGCAAUAGUAUUUCAAUACAAACUAUGAAAAGGUGUAUACCUCUGAAUUUAUUUUUGUUUUGGUAGGUGUCAGAAACUCAGCUCAGCUGGAAGAAACUUGAUGUACCAGGUAUCAGAGUAGCAAGUAAAGCCACAAGCCAAAAAUGAAAGAGAAUCUUUUAAGUGCUUAUCGUGAUGGUGUAAGUAAUUGUCCAAAAGAAACGCCGAUUCCUUCUGUUCCAUUUUUACCUGUGGAUUGUGGAUUGAAAUAACCAUUGGACCAUGAGGAGAGACUCUGAAGAGAGGCUAGUGAUAUGUGAUAUAAUACUCUUUUGUGACGUUGGACCAUGGCAGUGAGCCGCAGCUCCCAGUCAGCAAUGCGAUCCCAAGAAUAAACAACCGAUUCUUGACAGUGUCCUAUGUUGCCAGUCGAUUUUGUUCAACAGUAGGUACAUAUGUGACAACUUUGAUUCCAACCACGUGUUUUAUAUUACAUCUACUACUGUGCUUCCUCCUCCUCAGAGGUUACUCAUCAAAAUUGAUUAAUCUUU
This 1243-nucleotide long non-coding RNA is filed under the name Homo sapiens (human). RNAcentral describes it as "non-protein coding lnc-PLA2G4A-7:6". Lineage: Eukaryota; Metazoa; Chordata; Mammalia; Primates; Hominidae. The record is from RNAcentral.